CACAUUCACUAACACUUUGAAUUUCUUCAAGAAGUUCCAAAAAUGAACUUUUACACGCCGCUGAGACAAAACUCUGCACAUUCAACAACGAGUUCCCUCCAGGCCCAUACGUGCCUUUGGAUGCUGAUGGGAGUCGUGUUAAUAAAAUACCAGGAUCUGCAAAUAAUUGUAUACUGCAAGACUACAGAAAUGAAACUGGCAGACAGUUUAACAGAAUAACAUGCUUCAUCUGCCCAGAGGCUGAAUACAAUAAAUUAGAAAAUGACAGUAGUGAUCCUGAAGAAGUGACAAUUCAUCCAAAACAUAAAAUAGAAGAGGACUCUGUCAGUGAUACUGUGCUUUUUGUCCACAGCUCCCCCAGGGAAAAAAUGAAAAAUCUAACUGCAAGGAGUAAAGAUGUGACAUAUCCAGAGGUUUACGCUCCAAUUCUAGUUGAAGUGACACUAGCAGCUCAUCAGAAGAUGAAUUUGCUCACAAUGUUGAUUGUUUUAAUGACAAAAUAGUUAGUGUGGAAGACAUCCUGGAAAAUUUAGCCACGCAGAUUAAGUCUGAAAGUCUCACAGAGCUGACAUUUGGGACGGAGCUCUACGUGGUUUUAGGUGUUCGUCCUUUGAUCCAGCGCACACCAUUUUAGUGACAUUCAGUGGUAAUACCGGCUACGUGGAGAGUGCCAUUGACACAGGAGGACCCAAGCGAGAAUUUUUAGAACUCCUACUUGACCUGUGACAGUGCUGGUGAGUAUUAUGAGCUGUCACAUCCUGUAGUGGACUGACAUCUUGUACGUGUGUGAUUUCUUGUCAUUUGCCCAGUGUAGCCAUUAUAUAAUGUGCAUUAACUACGGCUGAAAUAAGUUCAUUUAAGCAAUGG
Long non-coding RNA from Polypterus senegalus (gray bichir), 867 nucleotides. RefSeq lists it as uncharacterized. NCBI's taxonomy places the organism in Eukaryota, Metazoa, Chordata, Cladistia, Polypteriformes, Polypteridae. The transcript has 5 exons. The record is from RefSeq and is a predicted model, not a curated record.